UAGUCCACGCCGUAAACGAUGAGAACUAGAUGUUGGGGGAAAUUGUCCCUCGGUGUCGCAGCUAACGCGUUAAGUUCUCCGCCUGGGGAGUACGCCGGCAACGGUAAAACUCAAAGGAAUUGACGGGGACCCGCACAAGCGGUGGAGCAUGUGGUUUAAUUCGAUGCAACGCGAAGAACCUUACCUGCCCUUGACAUUGACAGAAUCCUGUAGAGAUACGGGAGUGCUUCGGCCUGGAAAACNGGUGCUGCAUGGCUGUCGUCAGCUCGUGUCGUGAGAUGUUGGGUUAAGUCCCGCAACGAGCGCAACCCUUGUCCAUAGUUGCCAGCAUUUCGGAUGGGAACUCUAUGGAGACUGCCGGUGACAAACCGGAGGAAGGUGGGGAUGACGUCAAGUCAUCAUGGGCCCUUACGGGGCAGGGGCUACACACGUGCUACAAUGGUAAGUACAGAGGGUUGCCAACCGCGAGGGGGAGCCAAUCCCAGAAAGCUUAUCGUAGUCCGGGAUCGGGAGCCUGCAAC
This 521-nucleotide ribosomal RNA is filed under the name uncultured bacterium. RNAcentral's name for it is "bacterial SSU rRNA". It matches the Rfam family "Bacterial small subunit ribosomal RNA", at positions 791 to 1311 of the family's 1533-position model. The record is from RNAcentral.